RNAcentral lists this ribosomal RNA (459 nucleotides) under uncultured bacterium. RNAcentral describes it as "SSU rRNA". It matches the Rfam family "Bacterial small subunit ribosomal RNA", at positions 26 to 518 of the family's 1533-position model. The record is from RNAcentral.
AGAAUCAACGCUGGCGGCGUGCCUAACACAUGCAAGUCGAACGAGAAAGUGGAGCAAUCCAUGAGUACAGUGGCGCACGGGUGAAUAACACGUGACUAACCUACCCUUGAGUGGGGAAUAACCUGGAGAAAUCUAGGCUAAUACCGCAUAACACCUACGGGUCAAAGGAGCAAUUCGCUUAAGGAGGGGGUCGCGGCAGAUUAGCUAGUUGGCGGGGUAAUGGCCCACCAAGGCAGUGAUCUGUAUCCGGCCUGAGAGGGCGCACGGACACACUGGAACUGAAACACGGUCCAGACUCCUACGGGAGGCAGCAGUGGGGAAUUUUGCGCAAUGGGGGAAACCCUGACGCAGCAACGCCGCGUGGAGGAUGAAGUCCCUUGGGACGUAAACUCCUUUCGACCGGGAAGAUAAUGACGGUACCGGAAGAAGAAGCCCCGGCUAACUCGCGCCAGCAGCCGC